CAAAAAAUAGUUUAAUUAAAAUUUUAACUUUGGAAGUUAUAGACGGGAAAACCCCUUUUUUGA
RNAcentral lists this transfer RNA (63 nucleotides) under Tropostreptus severus. RNAcentral describes it as "tRNA-Pro". The record is from RNAcentral. Lineage: Eukaryota; Metazoa; Arthropoda; Diplopoda; Spirostreptida; Spirostreptidae.